GACGAACGCUGGCGGCGUGCUUAACACAUGCAAGUCGAGCGGUAAGGCCCUUUCGGGGGUACACGAGCGGCGAACGGGUGAGUAACACGUGGGUGACCUGCCCUCAGCUCUGGGAUAAGCCUGGGAAACCGGGUCUAAUACCGGAUAUGACUCCAUGACACAUGUUGUGGGGUGGAAAGCCUUGUGCGGCUGAGGAUGGGCCCGCGGCCUAUCAGCUUGUUGGUGGGGUGAUGGCCUACCAAGGCGACGACGGGUAGCCGGCCUGAGAGGGCGACCGGCCACACUGGGACUGAGACACGGCCCAGACUCCUACGGGAGGCAGCAGUGGGGAAUCUUGCGCAAUGGGCGAAAGCCUGACGCAGCGACGCCGCGUGAGGGAUGACGGCCUGGUU
RNAcentral lists this ribosomal RNA (392 nucleotides) under uncultured bacterium. RNAcentral describes it as "bacterial SSU rRNA". It matches the Rfam family "Bacterial small subunit ribosomal RNA", at positions 28 to 424 of the family's 1533-position model. The record is from RNAcentral.